GGGGCCGUAGUCUAGCUUGGUCUAGGACGCCACCUUGGGGUGGUGGUAGCCCGAGUUCAAAUCUCGGCGGCCCCA
Molecule: transfer RNA, 75 nt
Rfam family: tRNA
About the family: Transfer RNA (tRNA) molecules are approximately 80 nucleotides in length.